Molecule: RNA transcript, 3604 nt
Organism: Cryptotermes secundus
Lineage: Eukaryota; Metazoa; Arthropoda; Insecta; Blattodea; Kalotermitidae
Exons: 4
Source: RefSeq, a predicted model, not a curated record
AUGGAUCUGUAUGUCCACUUCAUAUGCCUUCAUGGCCUACUGCUUACUUAUCUAAGCACAGGGAUAACUUAACCUUUAUGUUUUUACCUUAAUAAUAUGUUACUGUUACUUGCACCAAAGACAAGUAAUUAUGCAUAUUUUCAGUUAAACCAGCAUUUCAUAAAGUUGUGUGUAUUCAAGCUUGUGAAAAAGUGGUGGGCCACGGGUUCUAUGUGUGACAUAAAGAAGCAAUCGAAGAGAAUUGUGCUGACUGAAGAUUCAGGAUAUUGAGGCAUGACUACAGAUCAGUCCUUGAAAAUUGUUAAAGACACUUAGCACAGGAAACCAGUGUUUCACUAGGAUCUGCUUUCACAGCCACAAAGUUAAUCAAAUUUCACCUGUAUAAAAUAACAGUUGUGCAUGAGCUGAAACAACCAGAUUAUGCAGCAAGAAUUUGUUUUUGCAUCUGGCUACUGCAAAAUGUGCACAAUGGAAUCAUGGGUCCACAGCUUCUGUUCAUGACUGAUGAAGUGUGGUUUCAUGUUAGUUGCCAUGUCAGUGCACAAAAUGUAAGAAUAUGGAGCAAUGAAAAUCCUCAUGCUAUACAGCAAGUGCUGUGACAUGGUGAAAAGGUGGGGGUGUGGUGUGCUGUAAGUUUGCAGUGAAUCAAGGGCCCUUAUUUUUCUAUGAAACCGUGAACUCUUGACUGCUACGCUAAUGAUAUACUGAACCUGUUCGUCAAUCAGCUGACUGCUGAAGAAAGACAAUGGAUAUUUUCAGCAAGACAAUGCUACGGCACAUAUGACUAAUGCAUCCAUGGUCCCAAUAUGGGAAGUGUUUGAAGACAAAGUAAUCAGCAGGGGAUUGUGGCCUCCCAGAUCUCAGUUUUUGUGAUUCUUAUCUUUGGGGAAACCUAAAGAGAAAAGUCUACAAGAAUAAUCCUCGCACCACUGAAGCUCUGCAGAAUGAAAUAACAUGCGUAAUUGGUUCAGUUACCAUGGACAACUGCAGAAAGUGUCACAUAAUUUAUUUAUGUGAUGCAAGGCAUGUUUGCAAGCAGAAGGGGGUCACUUUCAGCACCUGUUAUAAAGCAAGUUCUGGAGAAGCAUCAGCGAAGAGGGCGCUGUCAUAAUUGUCAAUCUCAGAGUGAGCCUGGAGCCUGCACAGAGCUACUCAUCCCCUGCACAAUAGGGAGGGUGAUGGAGGUAUCGGGAUGGAGAGCUACAGAAUUUCAUUUUCUACAAGAUAGUUCACAAAAGGUACUUCUUGCCAGCAACCUGUGAGUUAACAGCCCAGGGAUUCUCGUGGACGAUGUCGUUCUCCUCCGUGGCAAACAGGACUGCCACUCGACUGCAGUCAUUCAGAUGGGAGAUUAUGGAGCAUGCACCAUAUAGUCCAGACCUCGCCCCCAGUGAUUAUGUGUUCGGUCCACUGAAGAAGUUCCUGGCAGGCCAGAGGUUCAUUUCAGACGAUGCGAAAACUGCUGUCCAGCAGUGGUUCCGUGCUGAACCGGCCAAAUUCUACAACAGCAGUAUCUCAAACUAGUGGUGCGAUGGGACAAAUGCGUGAACUGGGGUGGUGACUAUGUGGAAAUAUAGUCGAAGGUACUUAGAACACUGCCUGUAUUUUGAUUUCUGUGUAUGUGUAUUAUCAUGGCUGAAAAAAAAAAUGGGCAAAGACUUUUCAAUUUGCCCUCAUAUAUUAAUACAAAUAUUAUAUUUUUGGACAUUAUCCAUGGUCUUGUCUUUAUCUAAAAAUUCUGUUUUGAAAAAUAAAGAGGACAGUUUUUAUAUAAAGACAAGGCGAUGGAUAAUUUUCAAAAACAUAAUAUUUGUGAACAUGAAUGUUAUAUGGGUGGAGUGGGAGGCCAUGCCCCUCAGGAUGGCUGGGCACCAGUAAUGGUUGUAAUGCAAGGUGUAUGGAAUUACCAGCUUCAAAAUCCAGAUGUGACAGGCUUAUUUUGGACUGUCUGAGGUAUUUGAUAUGCACAGUGUUUUGGGAACUGACUGUAUUAUCAUCUUGGCAUGAUUAGUUGUAAUUAUAACAAGAUACUUUUAUUAUUGCUAAUUUAACAUAAAGAUUUUGAACCCAAGGCCAGUAAGCUGACCAGUGGAGUGACCCAGGAAUUGUAAAUCUACUUACAUUACACAUUUGGUUACUAUGAGUCUAAUAGUGGGGAAGCCACAUGGAAGUUAUGUCUGUGGUUGGUUGAGGGCCUGUUCUGAUGACUCCAGAGAGUUACGGUUUCCUGGUGAUCCUCACAUCAGCCAACCAAGUGUCGAUGUGGCUCUCCCCACUAUGAGAGCGGGAGUAACCAUGUGUGUAACAUAAGUGAAGAGUAAUGACAAGAGUCCCUGAGCCACCCCAGUGGUCUAGUGAUUAAUGUAUCAGCCUGGUGUUCAGUUCCAACCACAGACACUGAUUUCUGAAAUAAUUAUUAAAAUUAAUUUUGCUGUACAUUAUGAUCCAGUAACUUAAUAUUUUGCUUUGCAGGUGACCAGGUCCACGUGCAGUAUUAACACGGGGCAACCUUGGCAUGCAGGAUUGAGGAAAAAAGGUAAAUUGAAGUUAUAAACAUGUCUGAAUAUUAAAUUGAAAGUAGAUGUGUGCUUCUGUAUUUAUACAUGUUGAGUGAGUUCUAUUGUACUCAGCAUUUCACUGUAUCAGGUGCAACUAUAUCACGUAUUGGUUACUUUUAGUGAUCUUCAGGGACUGCCAUACAUGCUGAAGUUUAAAAACAGCGUGUGGUGAGAGUCCCCAGAAGAUGGCUGAAAGAAGCCAAUGGUAUUUGUGAUAAAUAGCUGUAAUUAUUGAGGGAAAUUUUAUGUAAUUUUAUUUUGUAGAGGAUAAUGAAAACUAAUGUGAGAUUUUUAUUUUUGCAUUGCAGGGAGGACGAUGAGAGGUAUCGGAGUUCUGGCGUGGAGGAGGACAUGUACGAGUGUGCCACGGAAUUUCAUUUUCUACGAGAUAGUGCGCAGAAUGUACUUCAGUUUUUCCCAGCAUCUUUUCCUCCAUUUAUGCUCCUCCUCUUUCUCCUUUAUAAUCCUCUAGUACUUUUUUCCAUUUCCUUUCUUUUGAACUUCAUUACAUUCUUGAAGAGUAAUAACUGUGUAUACAUAAUACAUUUUUGUGAAUUAUAUAAUUUAAAAUUUGAUUACAUUCUUGAAACUUCAUAAAUAUGUGCACAUGUACACUGCCUGUGCAUUAUAUAUAAAUACAGUGUAGCAUCACAUGCAUACUAGCAACUUACAAGGAAGACAAAAAGCAGAAGUUCUUGAAGAAAUGUGGUGCUGGCAGAAAUUGAAGCCCUUUGUGCGCACUAUCUCCUGAGAAAUUAAAUUUUGUGGCACCCCCAUACAUAUCCUCUCCAGUGUGAAGCCAUCCAUAAGCUUCCCAGUGUUCUCCACAACCUGGAAACAAACAGAACAAAAUCAGUAUUGUUACACUUCUCAUAGCAAUGUACUACUCCAUCUUAACUUAUUGGUACUCUGUUGAAGGAAAUUCCCUUUACACAAGUAACUUAAGAUGGAGGCACUACAUUGCUUAACAUAAGUUGCUGUAAGAAAACUUUGAUCACAAAUAAACAUAUUCCAAGUGACUGAAACCAGUCACUAAUUUUUGGCAA